AACGAACGCUGGCGGCAUGCCUAACACAUGCAAGUCGAACGAUGCUUUCGGGCAUAGUGGCGCACGGGUGCGUAACGCGUGGGAAUCUGCCCUUGGGUUCGGGAUAACCGUUGGAAACGACGGCUAAUACCGGAUGAUGACGUAAGUCCAAAGAUUUAUCGCCCAGGGAUGAGCCCGCGUCCGAUUAGGUAGUUGGUGGGGUAAAGGCCUACCAAGCCGACGAUCGGUAGCUGGUCUGAGAGGAUGAUCAGCCACACUGGGACUGAGACACGGCCCAGACUCCUACGGGAGGCAGCAGUGGGGAAUAUCGGACAAUGGGCGAAAGCCUGAUCCAGCAAUGCCGCGUGAGUGAUGAAGGCCUUAGGGUUGUAAAGCUCUUUUACCCGGGAUGAUAAUGACAGUACCGGGAGAAUAAGCCCCGGCUAACUCCGUGCCAGCCGCCGCAGUAA
This 449-nucleotide ribosomal RNA is filed under the name uncultured bacterium. Its description in RNAcentral is "partial 16S ribosomal RNA". It matches the Rfam family "Bacterial small subunit ribosomal RNA", at positions 29 to 523 of the family's 1533-position model. The record is from RNAcentral.